ACAAAACAUUAAUUGUCAAAAACACAUGGAAUCAAAAACUUGUUUUCGAUCGUGCGUACCACUCCGUUUGAAAAUACAUGCUCCGAAGUCCCGUUGUCCGAAUCAAACCUUUUAACUCCGGAGUUGGUCUUCCUUUACUGAUGACCUCCUGCUUUGACCGAAAAUCCAUAGUUGAAAAUCGUUUGGAUAUG
Molecule: long non-coding RNA, 191 nt
Organism: Syngnathus acus (greater pipefish)
Lineage: Eukaryota; Metazoa; Chordata; Actinopteri; Syngnathiformes; Syngnathidae
Exons: 3
Source: RefSeq, a predicted model, not a curated record